CAACCUGCCCUUCAGUGGGGGAUACCUAGCCGAAAGGUUAGCUAAUACCGCAUACGGUGUGUGACUGGGAUGUCACAUACGAAAGAUUUAUCGCUGAAGGAUGGGCCCAUGGUCGAUUAGCUAGUUGGUGAGGUAACGGCUCACCAAGGCGACGAUCGAUAGCUGGUCUGAGAGGAUGAUCAGCCACACUGGGACUGAGACACGGCCCAG
Molecule: ribosomal RNA, 210 nt
Filed under: uncultured bacterium
Lineage: Bacteria
Description: partial 16S ribosomal RNA
Rfam family: Bacterial small subunit ribosomal RNA
Source: RNAcentral